AGCAGCCGCGGUAAUUCCAGCUCCAAUAGCGUAUAUUAAAGUUGUUGCAGUUAAAAAGCUCGUAGUUGAACUUCGGGGUUUACUCAUUGGUCAGGCUUAAUUGUCUGUACUGGUGAGAUGAAUCUCUACCUUCUGAGGAACUUUCAUGCCAUUUAUUUGGUGUAGUUGGAAAUCAGGACUGUUACUUUGAAAAAAUUAGAGUGUUUAAAGCAGGCUAACGUCUGAAUACAUUAGCAUGGAAUAAUGAAAUAGGACGGAUUGAUUCUAUUUCGUUGGUUUCUAGGGUCACCGUAAUGAUUAAUAGGGAUAGUUGGGGGCAUUAGUAUUCAAUUGUCAGAGGUGAAAUUCUUGGAUUUAUUGAAGACUAACUACUGCGAAAGCAUUUGCUAAGGAUGUUUUCAUUAAUCAAGAACGAAAGUUAGGGGAUUGAAGACGAUCAGAUACCGUCGUAGUCUUAACCAUAAACUAUGCCGACUAGGGAUCGGACGAAGUUAAUUAAUAAUGACGCGUUCGGCACCUU
This 520-nucleotide ribosomal RNA is filed under the name uncultured Diversispora. RNAcentral's name for it is "SSU rRNA". It matches the Rfam family "Eukaryotic small subunit ribosomal RNA", at positions 569 to 1089 of the family's 1831-position model. Lineage: Eukaryota; Fungi; Glomeromycota; Glomeromycetes; Diversisporales; Diversisporaceae. The record is from RNAcentral.